RNAcentral lists this ribosomal RNA (387 nucleotides) under uncultured bacterium. Its description in RNAcentral is "bacterial SSU rRNA". It matches the Rfam family "Bacterial small subunit ribosomal RNA", at positions 30 to 419 of the family's 1533-position model. The record is from RNAcentral.
AUUGAACGCUGGCGGCAUGCCUUACACAUGCAAGUCGAACGGCAGCACGGGAGCAAUCCUGGUGGCGAGUGGCGAACGGGUGAGUAAUAUAUCGGACGUGCCCAGUCGUGGGGAUAACGUAGCGAAAGCUACGCUAAUACCGCAUACGAUCUAUGGAUGAAAGCGGGGGAUCGCAAGACCUCGCGCGAUUGGAGCGGCCGAUAUCAGAUUAGGUAGUUGGUGAGGUAAAGGCUCACCAAGCCGACGAUCUGUAGCUGGUCUGAGAGGACGACCAGCCACACUGGGACUGAGACACGGCCCAGACUCCUACGGGAGGCAGCAGUGGGGAAUUUUGGACAAUGGGCGCAAGCCUGAUCCAGCAAUGCCGCGUGCAGGAUGAAGGCCUUC